Molecule: ribosomal RNA, 446 nt
Filed under: uncultured Pseudomonas sp.
Lineage: Bacteria; Pseudomonadati; Pseudomonadota; Gammaproteobacteria; Pseudomonadales; Pseudomonadaceae
Description: bacterial SSU rRNA
Rfam family: Bacterial small subunit ribosomal RNA
Source: RNAcentral
UAACGGGUGAGUAAAGCCUAGAAAUCUGCCUGAUAGUGGGGGAUAACGUUCGGAAACGGACGCUAAUACCGCAUACGUCCUACGGGAGAAAGCAGGGGACCUUCGGGCCUUGCGCUAUCAGAUGAGCCUAGGUCGGAUUAGCUAGUUGGUGAGGUAAUGGCUCACCAAGGCGACGAUCCGUAACUGGUCUGAGAGGAUGAUCAGUCACACUGGAACUGAGACACGGUCCAGACUCCUACGGGAGGCAGCAGUGGGGAAUAUUGGACAAUGGGCGAAAGCCUGAUCCAGCCAUGCCGCGUGUGUGAAGAAGGUCUUCGGAUUGUAAAGCACUUUAAGUUGGGAGGAAGGGCAUUAACCUAAUACGUUAGUGUUUUGACGUUACCGACAGAAUAAGCACCGGCUAACUCUGUGCCAGCAGCCGCGGUAAUACAGAGGGUGCAAGCGUU